GUAGGUUUCUAGAGUUCCAUAUUUCUUUUCUAUUGUUCUUGAGAACCACUUAUUUCAGCCAUUUUCAGGGUGUAAGAGUAGGGUGACUCAUGGCCACUAGAUUUGGGCUUCCUGCCCACCACAUGGAUAAGUGGCAGCUAAUUUUGGGAGUUGGACUUUGGACCACUGGCAAUGGCCCAUGCCGCCAUCUCUGGUGAUCAGGAACUAAUGUACAGAGAUGAGACUGGACCAGAGAGGUGGAUGUCUCGGGACAAGUCAGAAGAGAAUUCCUGAUUAUGACUAUGAUCCAAAGCUGGGACUCUGAGGACCAUUAUGAAGAAACUGGAAAGAAUGAUGUAAAUAUACAACCAGCCAAAGGCAUAUUCUUGCACAAAUGUCAGCUAUUUUGGUGAAUUAUGGGAGGGACUAAAGGGGACCUCAAGAACUGGAAUGGAAGCAAAAACCCUUUCAGCUAAGGUCAGUAAUUUCCCUGGAGACUGUGAGGUGUGUGUAUAUAGGGGGUGGAGAGGAGAGUUGGGGUUGGGGGGAUUAGGGAGGGGAGUUAUUAAUAUCUGCAAGUGUAGCAAGGAAUCUGCAUGGUUUGCACUUUUUGUGUCCCUUCAUAGGAAUGUUGAUCAAAGAGUGCAGAGCUCAGAGAGGCAGGAUCUGCCCUGCAAACUCUUCUGGUGCUGGGAAUUUGGAGAGGAAUUGAUUGGGAGGUCUCCUGGAGAUAAGGCAACGGAAAGGAGGCGUUGCCAUGGCAAAGUAUACAGGCAUUUUUUUUUCUUUUAUGAGUUCGGCUCCACAGACCCAAAUAUACAUAGCUAUCCACAGGAGAGGGUGAGUGUAAGUGGAUCAUGGCCAUAUAUGAAGAGGAAAUAGAUCCCAUUUUUG
Molecule: long non-coding RNA, 873 nt
Filed under: Monodelphis domestica (gray short-tailed opossum)
Lineage: Eukaryota; Metazoa; Chordata; Mammalia; Didelphimorphia; Didelphidae
Description: lncRNA (ENSMODG00000037478.1)
Source: RNAcentral